This 291-nucleotide ribosomal RNA is filed under the name Limosilactobacillus reuteri. Its description in RNAcentral is "Lactobacillus reuteri partial 16S ribosomal RNA". It matches the Rfam family "Bacterial small subunit ribosomal RNA", at positions 1 to 254 of the family's 1533-position model. Lineage: Bacteria; Bacillati; Bacillota; Bacilli; Lactobacillales; Lactobacillaceae. The record is from RNAcentral.
UUUAUAUGAGAGUUUGAUCCUGGCUCAGGAUGAACGCCGGCGGUGUGCCUAAUACAUGCAAGUCGUACGCACUGGCCCAACUGAUUGAUGGUGCUUGCACCUGAUUGACGAUGGAUCACCAGUGAGUGGCGGACGGGUGAGUAACACGUAGGUAACCUGCCCCAGAGCGGGGGAUAACAUUUGGAAACAGAUGCUAAUACCGCAUAACAACAAAAGCCACAUGGCUUUUGUUUGAAAGAUGGCUUUGGCUAUCACUCUGGGAUGGACCUGCGGUGCAUUAGCUAGUUGGUA